Numida meleagris (helmeted guineafowl) is the source of this 107-nucleotide ribosomal RNA. Lineage: Eukaryota; Metazoa; Chordata; Aves; Galliformes; Numididae. The record is from Ensembl.
AACUGCUCCACCUCAGGCUGGGAUCUUGUCAGAUCUCUCAAGCUAAGCAGGUCAGACUUGGUGGGUAAUUAGAUAGGAGACCUCUGUAGAAAAGCCAGGUGCUGUAU